AUUUUCCAAAAAUAUUUUCUUUUCUUUCCCAUUUUGGAAACUCAGUUCAUUUUCUCUCUCUCGAGCCGCGUCGGCACCUCUCCCUUCGCCGGCGUCUAUCUUCCUCUUCCGGCCACCUCUGAGCAAGAAACCACGUCCAGCAGCUUCGCCUCACUCCUCUGAUGCCGUCUGUGGCAGCCUUUCACGGUGGCACGGCCUGUAGUGGCGGCGGCAAGCUCGUUUCGAUUUGGGUUCGAUUGGAGUCAACGCCGUUUUUCUCCUAGCUCCGGCCACAAAAACUUCCAAUCCUUGGCUCUGUGAACUCGCCUCAACCUGCUGAUCAUCAUACCAGAAGGAUCGCACCUGGGGUUACCGGAUUCAAGUUCGUCGGAGCUCGACCGGUUUUCGAUCGAAAACCAAAACCUUCUGAUCGUGAUAUCUCGAGCUGUAGUGCAUCGUUUUGAUUAAUUCUUGAACCAGUGAGUUCGCCUUGAUGUUCUUAACAACUAUCUAGAAGGAAAUAGGCCUGAAAUUGAAGUUUUUACGUCGAAAUCGUGCCUCGACGGUUUCUGCAUUUCUUCGCCGGUUUCUGGAAAAUUUCCAGCCACCUUCAAACUGUUCUAGGUGAUUGACGGUUUUUACUUGGGCGAACGAGUUUGGUGUGAUUGUGUUAAUUUGAAAACGCAGCGGGAGUAUCGAGGUCACAGGGGUGAUCAUGGCAUCUGUUAGUGAACCACGCUCUUGUACCGAGUUGGUGGUUACUAAUAGCAUUAAAUCGUGAACCACGCUCUCGCGCCGAGUUGGUGGUUACGAUCAGUUAGAGCUCUAGUCUGUCUGCCAAAUGUUGAGUGACCUUAUGAGGGUAACGGGGAGUGACUCAUAAGUGUAUAUAUAUAAAUGAGAGUGAGAAAGUGAAGUGGUUUUGUGGUGGUGGUUGUUGUGAUUGUUGGUUGUUUUGGUUGAGUUAAAAGGAAUAUGAUUUGAAAUUUAAUAAAUCAACAGUUCUUUCUUAUUUACUCAUACGAGCUGUAAAGCUUACCGGGUUUGGUGUUGUUGCAAUCCCGGUACACUAUUCAAAUUGUGUAGCGGGUAAUCCUAUAGGUCAGGAGAAUCGAGAAGGUGAUUAGGCUGCUUAGAGUAGUGGUAUUUGAGUUACAGCUUUAUUGUGAGGUUGUUAUGCUCAUUGAGCUUACAUUUAAUUUGGAGAGAGUGUGUUGUAAUAUUAAAUAACUUGAGGAUUUGGUUUAUUGUAUUAAUGAGAGGUGUGAAGUGUGGUUGUUUGUGAGAAAAAAUUUCAGGACGUUUAUUUGUAAUUGUUAUUAUUCAUGUUUCGGAUUUGAAUUGGUUAUUCAAAUUCGGGGCGUGACAAUUCUUAUGGAUUUUGUGGCAAUUUUGGUUGAAAGAACAGGGAAUGGUACUAAAUGUUAUCCCCUCAAGGUAUGAAAUCCUGGAUCCAUUUUUUUUUUCUUUUUAUUUCAUAUAGGUAGGAACGCAGGCGAUAAUGAAAACAAAGAAGUCUACAAUAGCUUCUUACUGAAAACUUUCUUGAGUUAUAUAACAGUAGAUAGGCACAGAUUGUGGUAGCUGUCAGAAAGUCAUAUAUUUUCUUAGUGGAACCAAAUUGUUUAUAUCAGUGAUAUCAAACAAAAUUAGACUGACAGGAGAUAGAAAAUUUGGUAAGAUGUCUACAAGUAUCAGGUACACUUUAUUUGGCUUCAUUUUAUUGACUGUUUCUAUACUUCCUUGUGGGUGCUUCUUUGUUUAAUCCUUCUUACAAUUUGUUCUAAUUUUUCUUUUCAAUUACUGUAAUUGUAAUUUUCCCCUCUUUCUCUUGAGUGGGUGAGUAAAUCUCUUAUUCAAUUUUUUCAUUCAGCAUCAUCUCAUCAAGCUUUGCAUGUAGCCUUGUGGGUUCUUUACUUUCUGUAUUACCAAUUUGGAGUUAGCUCUAUACUGCUGCUACUAAUAAAAUGAAAUUGAAAAACGAAACUUUUGCACCGGGAGCUCUUAAAAGUUUACAUUUUGACUCGUUGGAUAAUAUCAGAGUAUGUAGCAUGUACAUAGUACACAUAUUGUAGCUACUGCUCUCUCAUUCUAUUGGAAAAGGAUUCUCUUAGGAUUGCAAUAUUUCCUAAAAAUUUGUGGUACCAUUUGUUUGUUUUCCGUUUUUUGCUUUCUGUUCAGCGCACUUCUAUGUUGGUUUUGAUAAGAACACCUUUUAAAUAGUUUAACAGUUUAGUGCAGAAAAAAUACGCUAGAAUAGACCACCUCUUGUUCGAGCCACUUAGAAAAGUGAUGAUCAUCUCCAUUUAGAUAUGCAGCUAGAAACAUUGAUGCAUAUUCUCUCUUCGUUAUAGAAUUUCAUUCUAGGUUAAUUGUUAGCUAGGUGGAUGGGAAUACUCGUAAAAUAACGCAAGAAAAGUACUAAGAAUAGGUAUUCCACCUAAGAAGCUAGUCAAUACAUGCAAUUGUUUUCUAGGUUAAAUGCAUACUGCACACUGCUUGCUCAAAGUGCCGUUCAUGGAGCAAUGGCAGGGUUCACAGGCUUUUUAGUUGGGUUUGUAGUUAUCCUCUCUCUUACAAGUUUGUUUAUUGUCACACUUGAAUUGUGGAAACUUCUAUUUUAACUGCGUCAUCUUAGUAUGUAUCAUUGUAUCUCAUUCAAAAUGUUGCUCUCAGAGUUUGAAGUUAAGACUCACAUAUUGAUCUGUUUUUUAGUUUUGAUAUACAACAUAUUACCGAGAGCCAGAACCAGGUUGUGAUUACCGAUAGGAUCUAGGCCACAACUCCUUUCUUUAACCAACCAACCGAGCUUCUUGAACCCCAAAGACGCUGAUGAAGUCCAAAAAGGGGAAGAGCCUCCAACUCAACUGCUAGAUGGGGAAAAUUGUAAAGCUAGCAAGUACUGAAACAUUCCUAGCAUGGCAUGAAAACACAACUGUUUUAUUUGAAACCUUCUGUUAGAAUCAUAAGUAUUCAGAUCUUUGGUUGAUGCCCUACUGACCCAGAAUGUUGAUGGGAAUUCACAUUUUUGACUGCCAGUAUCAUCUAUGGAGCAUAAUUGUUUGCUGUUGUAUCAGAUGAAUUCAAUUCACCAUGCCCUACCGAAGAGAUUUCUGCUUAAAGUGUUCAUUUGGUAGAAGCAAAACUAGCAUCUCUGAAUGGGAUUAGCAGAGUCUACUUAAGCUUCACCCUUGCACGAGUUUGUAAUUACUUAGGUCAUUGCAUAUUUUUGACGAGUGCUGCUACUGGCCAUUUGUUCUGUUGGAUAGUUUUGGGCGUUUAGCAUUAGAUAGUGGUUUGGAUGUUUAAUAGGAGCUGCUAUGCCAUCUGUUUUGUUUCAUUUUUAUGCUUUCAUCUUAAAAUUGAGUUAAGUAGAUUCAUCUUUUACACAUUUCCUGCAGUGCGGUAAUGCAAUUAUUUCAUUGUAUCUGCACAGCCAUACCAAACUCAGCCAUAGUGGCAUAGUCAUUCAUUGUUUUGCGAUACAUCAUGUGUAGGGGUUGUUUGGAGUUUCUGAUUGUCUUCGUUCAUUUCAAGGAGGUUUGUAAUACAUCAUGUACCUUGCGGACUAACUACUUCAUAUGUAUUAUGAGUUAUAUGAUUUUAUAUGUCAUGAAUGAUUCAUUCUACUGUGCGCUAGUUUUUCAAUCUUCAUACUGCUUGCACUGGUAGAUUUUUCUUGGUUGAAAAGAAAUUCGAAAUCAUUAUUCUAGUUCUGCAGUUGAAAUUUAAUGCUUACAUCCAAAUGUUGAAGCUUAAACUCAAUGUAUGGGCAGAACCAAGUUUCAUAAACUUGUCAUUCAUAUAGCUAAUGUGGGGCAAGACAGUGAUCUAGAGCUUUUGUGUGCGUGCAUGGUGGAAUUGGCAGACCACAAUGCCAUGCAGUCUUUCAUGGGGAAAUAAUAUGGAGCUCAA
Molecule: long non-coding RNA, 3894 nt
Organism: Rosa chinensis
Lineage: Eukaryota; Viridiplantae; Streptophyta; Magnoliopsida; Rosales; Rosaceae
Exons: 3
Source: RefSeq, a predicted model, not a curated record